Molecule: long non-coding RNA, 1828 nt
Organism: Physeter macrocephalus (sperm whale)
Lineage: Eukaryota; Metazoa; Chordata; Mammalia; Artiodactyla; Physeteridae
Exons: 3
Source: RefSeq, a predicted model, not a curated record
UCCAGUCAAGCUGCCGCAACCAGAUGGAAGUAAUCAGAACCUAACAACAACAGAGGAAGAAAAGAAAAAACCUCACUGAAUUUUCGGGCCAAAGUGAGAAGACUGAGGCUGAAAGAAGUGAAGUAACUUGUCCAAGGCCAGAGCACUGAACUGCCAUCCUCCACGAAUUCAACCCGCUCCACUCCUGCUGGAAUCCAGGCACUCCAUAACCUUUCCUGGCUUAUUUUGGCAAGAAGGUGGCUGUUGAGAAGAAGAUGGAAUCUUUUGGUUUGAGGAGAGGGUGUAAACAUCACGCCUUGAUCUCUAGAUGGUCAGAAGUCUGGGCACUGAGCAAAAACAGCAGAAGUUUUGGAGUGGAGGCAAACUGGUAGAGCAGAGAAGUGAACGAUGGACACAAGGUCCUGGCCCCAGGUCUAGAGCUAAAUGUAUGACCUUGGGCGAGUGCCAGUUCGUUCAGUCAGCACCUUUCUGUGUGCCAGGUACCAUUCCAAGUGAUGUGACAUCACAGUGAGUGGAAUGAACGAGAUCCUUCCCCUCAUGGAGCUUAAUGUUUCAUGAAUAACCACAGACAAAUACAUAAUCGCAAGCUGGGUAAAGAAAAAAUACCAAGUGAUCUAAGAGCUCACGAUGGGUGACCUGAACUAACAGGAGGCAGCAGUUGGGGGUGCCGAUAAGGCUUACCUGAGGAAGCGAGGUUGCACUGAUAGGAAGACGGAAUGAAGGAUCAAAAAAACCAAAAAUCGAUGUGUGGAACUAGGUUAAGCAAAAAAGCUUCUGCACAGCAAAGGAAGCAAUGCACAGUGUGAAAAAGCUUAUGGAAUGGGAGAAAGUACUUGCAAGCCAUAUACUGACGAGGAGUUCAUUUCCAAAAUAUGUAAGGGUCUCCUAAAACUCAAUAGCAAAAAUACAAAUGACCUGGUUAAAAAAUGGGCAAAGGGCCUGAAUAGACAUUUCACCAAAGAAGGCAUACUGAUGGCCAACAGGUACACGAAAAGAUGCUCAACAUCACUCACCGUCCAGGAAAUGCAAAUCAAAACCACAAGGCAAGGGACCUCCUGGCGGUCCAGUGGUUAAGACUCCUCAAGCUUCCAAUGCAAGGGCCACGGGUUCAAUCCCUGGUCAGGGAACUAAGAUCCCACAUGCUGCUCAGCCAGAAAAAACAAAAACAAAAAAACCCACAAGGCAAUAUCACCUCACACCUGUUAGGAUGGCUAUCAUCAAAAAAACAAAAGAUAGCAAGUGUUGGCGAGGCAGUUGAAAAAAUGGAACCCUAGUGCGCUGACAGUGGGAAUGUCAGUGCACAAGUAAUGUUGAGUGAAAUUAAAAUGGUACAAAAUAGUGUAACCAUUAUGAAAAAUAGUAUGGCGGUCUCUCAAAAAACUAAAACUAGAAUAUGAUCCAGCAAUCUCAAUUAGGACCUUGAAAAGAUAUCCACACUUCUAUGUUCAUCGCAGCAUUACUCCCAGUAAUCGAAAUAGGGGAACGACCCAAACGUAUGUCAUCAGAUGAAAUGCAUAAAGAAACUGUGGUAUAAACAUACAAUGGAAUAACGUCCUUAAAAAAGAAGGAAGGGACUUCCCUGGUGGUGCAAUGGUUAAGAAUCCGCCUGCCAAUGCAGGGGACACGGGUUCGAGCCCUGGUCUGGGAAGAUCCCACAUGCUGCAGAGUAACUAAGCCCGCGAGCCACAACUACUGAGCCUGCACUCUAGAGCCCGUGAGCCACAACUACGGAACCUGUGUGCUGCAACUACUGAAGCCCGCGCACCUAGAGCCUGUGCUCCGCAACAAGAGAAGCCACCGCAAUGAGAAGCCCGCGCACAGCAACGAA